RNAcentral lists this ribosomal RNA (490 nucleotides) under uncultured bacterium. RNAcentral describes it as "partial 16S ribosomal RNA". It matches the Rfam family "Bacterial small subunit ribosomal RNA", at positions 30 to 507 of the family's 1533-position model. The record is from RNAcentral.
AUUGAACGCUGGCGGCAGGCCUAACACAUGCAAGUCGAACGGUAACACGAAGAAACUUGCUUCUUUGCUGAGGAGUGGCGGACAGGGGUGUAAUGUCCGGCAAACUGUAUGAUGGCGUGGGGGAACAACUGGAAAAAGUAACUAUUACAGCAUAUAGUCGCUACACCAAAAAGGAGGGCCUUCGGGCCCCUUGCGCUAGUAUAUGCGCAUAUGGGAUUAGCUAGUAGGUGGGGGAAAGGCUCACACAGGCGACGCUCCCUAGAUGGUCUGUGAGGAUGACCAGCCACACUGGAACUGAGACACGGUCCAGACUCCUACGGGAGGCGGCAGUGGGGAAUAUUGCACAAUGGGCGCAAGCCUGAUGCAGCCAUACCGCGUGUGUGAAGAAGGCCUUCGGGUUGUAAAAUACUUUUCUCGGGGAGGAAAGGAGUAAAGUUAAUACCUUUGAGGUCUGACGUAACCCAAAGAAUAAGCACCGGCUAACUCCGUG